Molecule: ribosomal RNA, 253 nt
Filed under: uncultured bacterium
Lineage: Bacteria
Description: partial 16S ribosomal RNA
Rfam family: Bacterial small subunit ribosomal RNA
Source: RNAcentral
GACAGAGGGUGCAAACGUUGUUCGGAAUUACUGGGCGUAAAGCGCGUGUAGGCGGCUCGGAAGGUCGGGUGUGAAAGCCCUGGGCUCAACCUAGGAAGUGCACUCGAAACUUCCGAGCUGGAGUUCUGGAGAGGAAGGCGGAAUUCUCGGUGUAGAGGUGAAAUUCGUAGAUAUCGAGAGGAACACCGGUGGCGAAGGCGGCAUCCUGGACCAACACUGACACUGAGGAGCGAAAGCCAGGGGAGCAAACGGG